CUCUUAGACAGUCCAGGACCCAGUCAAGGGAAUGGUACCACCCACUGUGGGCUCUGUCUUCUCAACCUAUGGGUCAACCUGAUCUAGAUAGUGGAGGAUGUUCAGGGAAUAUACAAUGUGGAGUGUAUCUCCCUGCCUUCUCAUUGAUACAUGGGGCCUUGCCACACAGCCUCCUAGACGCCCAGCAGCAUCCCACCCUAGGAGACUAUUUCCUUGGCUAUGUUCUUCACUGACCACACCAUGGGAAGGAUGCUACCUGCUGCUCUGUACUGUUGCUCUUGCUUCUUAGUUGUCCUGACCCAUGAAGACUGCUCAUGUAUCUGGAAGCAAGAGAUGGAGACUUCAAGGAACUAAAGACACCGUCUACAGCAGAA
Mastomys coucha (southern multimammate mouse) is the source of this 374-nucleotide long non-coding RNA. RefSeq lists it as uncharacterized. The record is from RefSeq and is a predicted model, not a curated record. NCBI's taxonomy places the organism in Eukaryota, Metazoa, Chordata, Mammalia, Rodentia, Muridae. The transcript has 2 exons.